Molecule: ribosomal RNA, 48 nt
Filed under: Hodophilus foetens
Lineage: Eukaryota; Fungi; Basidiomycota; Agaricomycetes; Agaricales; Clavariaceae
Also listed under: 3 other names
Description: partial 25S large subunit ribosomal RNA
Source: RNAcentral
GACUUGACCUCAAAUCAGGUAGGACUACCCGCUGAACUUAAGCAUAUC